Molecule: non-coding RNA, 117 nt
Filed under: Homo sapiens (human)
Lineage: Eukaryota; Metazoa; Chordata; Mammalia; Primates; Hominidae
Source: Rfam by way of RNAcentral
GCCGGGCGUGGUGGCUCACACCUGUAAUCCCAGCACUUUGGGAGGCUGAGGUGGGUGGAUCACUUGAGGUCAGGAGUUCGAGACCAGCCUGACCAACAUGGAGAAACCCCAUCUCUA